GGCGGUGCGACAAAGUAACCGCGCGGCGGCGAAAUCCAUACCUUUGCAGAAGGAGAGCUUAUUCCCGGCCAACAGGCCAAAACAAUCCGCCGAUGCGGCCAGCCGGACGCUGCUUGCAUGGCGGGGGUAUGUGCAGCGCCCCCGUUUACCCUCAAGGGGUACGAGGCAUCCGUAGGCGGCAUAGCCGCUGACGGCUGCCCUGUCAUGGCUGGUGCCGCCAAGCAGAUAGAACGCGCACCCGACAAAUCCUUCUGUACGGCGGAUGCCCCCAACGGGGCGGAAGG
Molecule: non-coding RNA, 284 nt
Filed under: unclassified sequences
Description: RT-2 RNA
Rfam family: RT-2 RNA
About the family: Coriobacteriales (Actinobacteria), Clostridiales (Firmicutes). Downstream gene
Source: Rfam by way of RNAcentral